RNAcentral lists this ribosomal RNA (474 nucleotides) under uncultured organism. RNAcentral describes it as "partial 16S ribosomal RNA". It matches the Rfam family "Bacterial small subunit ribosomal RNA", at positions 334 to 799 of the family's 1533-position model. The record is from RNAcentral.
CACUCCUGCGGGAGGCAGCAGUGGGGAAUUUUGGACAAUGGGCGCAAGCCUGAUCCAGCCAUGCCGCGUGCGGGAAGAAGGCCUUCGGGUUGUAAACCGCUUUUGUCAGGGAAGAAAAGGUUCUGGCUAAUACCUGGGACUCAUGACGGUACCUGAAGAAUAAGCACCGGCUAACUACGUGCCAGCAGCCGCGGUAAUACGUAGGGUGCAAGCGUUAAUCGGAAUUACUGGGCGUAAAGCGUGCGCAGGCGGUUAUGCAAGACAGAGGUGAAAUCCCCGGGCUCAACCUGGGAACUGCCUUUGUGACUGCAUGGCUAGAGUACGGUAGAGGGGGAUGGAAUUCCGCGUGUAGCAGUGAAAUGCGUAGAUAUGCGGAGGAACACCGAUGGCGAAGGCAAUCCCCUGGACCUGUACUGACGCUCAUGCACGAAAGCGUGGGGAGCAAACAGGAUUAGAUACCCUAGUAGUCCCAUG